GAUUUCUUUUUCUUUAUGCCGACAGACUGAAAAGACGCUACAUCGAGCUGCAUCAAAACCGAGAAUCUUUUUCUCUCUUUAAAAAUACAAAAAGACAAAAAAGAGAAAGAAGGAUCACGUUAAAUCUUCAGCUCUUUACACCUUGUUAACGAUCUGCCGAAAUUAACGAGGUGCUUUAAAGCGGAUUAAGGACAAACUUUAGACGGACAUGUCGGACACGCCGAUUAAGCCUUCGCACAUUUUCAGUCUGUCUCUGAUUUGAGAGCUCUGUGCUUCAGCAGGACGUGAGACACCAGCAGCGUCUAUGUUAGUGAAGAGAGGCUCAAUCAAACACGGUUCGGAUCCCGGGUUGAAGAUGCCGCGUGGGAGGUGCUGGAUGAGGCCGAUGCGCUGAGCGAUCCGUACCUGCUCCUCCUCCGUCAGCUGGGUGGCCAGACGGGUCUGACUGGGUGUGGGGUGGUACACAGGCACCUGCACACGCUCCUGCAUGUCACACACACACACACACACACACAUUACUGUACAGGUAAAGGUUUAAAUCUAACUAUUUAAAACAGGAAUGUUUCAGAAAUGUACAGACUGUGCAAAAGUAAAGGAUAAAAAAUAAAUCCAGAAAGUCAAAAACUCUUCCCCGUUUACAUGAGCACUAAAUUGACUGGCAUUCAGACAGCGCUCUUCGCUCCCCAAAUUCCACAGUUGAUCUUGUUGCUUGGUAAUGGAGGCUACAGAAACAUUAGCCUGCCAGGAUUAAAGGUCUCUCACAGAGUCUAAGCCUCUGCAAAUGCCAAGCAGAGCAGAGCGGAACCUUACUUUCUAAUUAUACGGAGCGGAAAACACUAGCUGACCUCGUUAUUCACAACCUACACGAGAAUCUCACGUAUUAUAAAAAAAAAAUAAAAAAUAGAAUUUUGUAUAACAGUGUGUAUAUACAGUGUGUGUGUGUGUGUGUGGACUGUGUGUGUGUAUGUGUGUGUGUUUGGACUGUGUGUGUGUGGUGAGUGUGUGUGAGUGUAUGGACUGUUUGUGUGUAUGGUGUGUGUGUGUAUGUGUAUAGACUGUGUGUGUGUAUGGUGAGAGUGUGUGUGUGUGUAUGGUGAGUGUAUGUGUGUGUAUAUAGACUGUGUGUGUGUAUGGUGAGUGUGUGUGUGUUGUAUAGACUGUGUGUGUGUAUGGUGAGUGUGUGUGUGAGUGUAUGGACUGUGUGUGUAUGGUGAGUGUGUGUGUAUGGGCUGUGUGUGUAUAGACUGUGUGUGUGUGUGGGUUGUAUAGACUGUGUGUGUGUGUAUGGUGAGUGUGUGUGUUGUAUAGACUGUGUGUGUAUGUGUAUAGACUGUGUGUGUAUGGUGAGUGUGUGUGUUGUAUAGACUGUGUGUGUAUAGACUGUGUGUGUAUAUGGUGAGUGUGUGUGUAUAGACUGUUUGUGUUUGUGUAUGGUGAGUGUGUAUGUAUGUGUGUGUGGUGAGUGUGUGUGUGUAUAGACUGUGUAUGUGUGUGUGUUGUAUAGACUGUGUGCGUGAGUGUAUGGAGAGCGUGUGUGUGUAGAAUGUGUGGGUGUGUAUAGACUGUGUGUGUGUAUGGCAUGUGUGUGUGUGUGUGUGUAUGGACUGUGUGCAUGUGGACUGUGUGUGUAUGGUGUGUGUGUGUAUGGAGUGUGUGUGUGUGUGUGUGUGUGUGUAUGGACUGUGUGCGUGUGUACUGUGUGUGUAUGGACUGUGCGUGUGGACUGUGUGUGUAUUGACUGUGUGUGUAUGGUGUGUGUGUGUGUGUGUGUGUGUGUAUGGACUGUGUGUGUGUACCUGAUAGGGAGGUGGAGGUUCUCCUGGUAAACUCGCUCCCUCAGACUCAUUAAGAGGUGACAGAUCAUCAGCACUCUGAGAGCUGAGACAGUUCCCCAUCGAGCCGAACAGCAGGUGAUAAAUAAACUCUGGAUAAGACACAA
Molecule: long non-coding RNA, 1939 nt
Organism: Tachysurus vachellii
Lineage: Eukaryota; Metazoa; Chordata; Actinopteri; Siluriformes; Bagridae
Exons: 3
Source: RefSeq, a predicted model, not a curated record